GUAGGCAACUACACAUCUGCUACUCUGAUCCUCAACACGGGGGCCCCUCAAGGGUGCAUGCUUAGUCCCCUUCUGUACUCCCUAAUAACCCACGACUGAGUGGCCAAACACGACUCCAACACCAUCACUAAGUUUGCAGAUGACACAACGGUGUUGGGCCUGAUCACCGUCAACAAUGAGAGCCUAUAGAGAGGAGGUCAGAGACCUAGCAGCGUGGUGCCAGGACAACAACCUCUCCCUCAACAUGAUCAAGACAAAAGAGAUGAUCGUGGAUUACAGGUAAAGGACGGGGCUCUAGUGGAGCAGGUCGAGAGCUUCAGGUUCUUUGGUGUCCACAUCUCCAACAAACUAUUGUGGACCAAACACACCAAGACAGUUGUGAAGAGGGUACGACAACGCCUAUUCCUCCUCAGGAGACUGAAAAGAUUUGUCAUGGGUCCUCAGAUUCUCAAAAAGUUAUACAGCUGCACCAUCGAGAGCAUCCUGACUGGUUGCAUCACCGCCUGGUAUGGCAACUGCUCGGCAUCCGACCGCAAAGCGCUACAGUGGGUAGUGCGUACAGCCCAGUACAUCACUGGGGCCAAGCUUUCUGCCAUCCAGGACCUCUAUACCAGGCGGUGUGUCAGAGGAAGGCCCUAAAAAAGUCUAGGUCCAAAAAGCUCCUUAAACCACCAAGCCAUAAGACUGCUUAACAGUUAGACAAAUGGCUAUCUGGACUAUUUGCAUUGACAACCCAUUUUUUUACGCUGCUGCUACUCGCUGUUUAUUAUUUAUUAUCUAUGCAUAGUCACUUUACCCCUACCUACAUGUACAUAUUACCUCAAUUACCUCGACUAUCCUGUACAUUGACUCAGUGGCGGUACCCCCUGUAUAUAGCCUCAUUAUUGAUACUUUUUUGUGUUACUUUCUUUUUACUUUAGUUUAUUUUGUAAAUAUUUUCUUAACUCUUAAUUUUCUCAAAACUGCAUUUUUGGUAAAGGGCUUGUAAGUAAUAAUUUCACGGUAAGGUCUACUACACCUGUUGUAUUCUGCGCAUGUGACAAAUACAAUUUGAUUUGAUUUGAUUUGGAGAUUCACAGUAUAAGCUGAUCCUAGAUCUGUGCCUGAGAGUAAAUUCAACCUGGAGUAUGAACCAGAGGUGCUGCAGUAUAACCUACCUUUGUGCUUCUGCAGGGCCUUCUGGGGGGACUGGAGGACAGACUCUUGGAACUGCUGGGCAAACUCUUGAGCAGUAAAGCUCUCCCAGGUCUUGGUCCGGCCAUUCAGGCUGAGGGGAGCGUCUUUAGGCUGCAUGGGGGGCCGCAGGCUACCACUGUCUCACCCGCAUCUCUGUAAUCCCUGCUGCACCUCUGCUGUGUGUGUGUGUGUGUGUGUGUGUGUGUGUGUGUGUGUGUGUGUGUGUGUGUGUGUGUGUGUGUGGGAGGCUGCACGCUGCCAUCUGCAGGCAGCAUACGGUAAAUCCACAGGAUUAGCGCGGGAUCACCGUAAACCUGCCGCUGCCACUCCACGCCUCGCCACAGCAGUGUGUGUGUGUGUUGUGUGUGUGUGUGUGUGUGUGUGUGUGUGUGUGUGUGUGUGUGUGUGUGUGUGUGUGUGUGUGUGUGUGUGUGUGUGUGUGUGUAUCUGUUUCUCCUCACAGAAAGUCCAGCUGUAACACUGAAGAGGGAGGCAUGUGCAUCUGAUAACAUUCCCAAAGAGGAUGAGAUCUGUACGCUGGUGAAGGACAUCUGGGACACGCGCAUCGCCAAGCUCCGCCUCUCCACUGACAGCUUCAUCAGCCAGCAGGAAGCACACGCCAAGCUGGACAACCUGACUGAUGGAGAUUAACACGACACGGUCGUUCCUGCUGGACACUCUCAACUGCAUGAAUAAGCUGCGCUCCAACCUGCAGCCCGGCUCCAGUGGGGGCAAAGCCCAGCACCACUGAUCUGUAUUUACGGACUAGACCUGGACCUGGGCCGCAGCCUCUCCUGUCCUAAGCAAGAUGGAGCAGACUUAGGCCCAGCUUUACUAAGCAUUUGCAGCAGCUGCAAAGUAAAAUAACGGAAUCAAGGAAUCCAGACAUUAAAACAGAAUUCAUCAAAAUUCUUAAAUGCAUUGAACUUAGUAGGGAAUCUUAUUGAACAUUUAUUAGUCCAAGUUUAUCAUAAGGCAUGAAAAGAAUGCAUCAGUGAUUUGUAUUUCCUGCAACUUAAUAAAGUGUGCUUUUUUCAGAGCGAAAACCUGAAAACUGGAAACCUGGAAAAACAAAAUGACAUUUUGAAAAAAUCUAAUGGAAUCAGGCAAAAAAUAAAACUGAUUUUAUAGAGCCCUAAGUCUGAUCCUAGUGAAGACAGAGCUGAUCCGCAGUUCUUAUGAAGUUGGAGUACUUAUCUGAAGUUGUCAUGCCCCAACUAUCUGAUUCCUUAGUACUAUGUGUUAUCUCAUUGGAUUUGUUGAAGUUGAAGCUUCGGACAAAAGCAAUCAUCAGCAGACCGAUAGUCCUCUUCAACAGGCCAUGGGCUCCCUGGAGAAAACACCCUGCUUCGGUAUGGUUGGACUUUUCAAAAAGAAAUCUGGGUUGAUGCCUUUUAAAAUAUUUGCUUAAUAGAGGUAGCAGUUGUCGUGUCUUUGGGCACCAUUAAACUGAAGACAUGUUUAUCAAU
Non-coding RNA from Salmo salar (Atlantic salmon), 2645 nucleotides. The record is from RefSeq and is a predicted model, not a curated record. Lineage: Eukaryota; Metazoa; Chordata; Actinopteri; Salmoniformes; Salmonidae.